Molecule: ribosomal RNA, 450 nt
Filed under: uncultured bacterium
Lineage: Bacteria
Description: partial 16S ribosomal RNA
Rfam family: Bacterial small subunit ribosomal RNA
Source: RNAcentral
GUGGGGAAUAUUGGACAAUGGGCGAAAGCCUGAUCCAGCCAUGCCGCGUGUGUGAAGAAGGUCUUCGGAUUGUAAAGCACUUUAAGUUGGGAGGAAGGGCAGUAAGUUAAUACCUUGCUGUUUUGACGUUACCGACAGAAUAAGCACCGGCUAACUUCGUGCCAGCAGCCGCGGUAAUACGAAGGGUGCAAGCGUUAAUCGGAAUUACUGGGCGUAAAGCGCGCGUAGGUGGUUUUGUAAGUUGGAGGUGAAAUCCCCGGGCUCAACCUGGGAACUGCCUCCAAAACUGCAUGACUAGAGUACGGUAGAGGGUAGUGGAAUUUCCUGUGUAGCGGUGAAAUGCGUAGAUAUAGGAAGGAACAUCAGUGGCGAAGGCGACUACCUGGACUGAUACUGACACUGAGGUGCGAAAGCGUGGGGAGCAAACAGGAUUAGAAACCCCUGUAGUCC